GAUGACCUUUAUAAUUUUCGCGACAACUGUUUCCGCUUAACUUCGGAGGAGAGAGACUCCAAAUUGCAAAGCCAAUCUGAUCUAGCUCUUCAAAUCCUCGAUAAAAUUCCUAUAGAAAAGAGGAAAUUGCCACUUCAACGUGCAACCUCUGAGUAUCUAAGAGGGAAAAUACUGGAUGCAGUUCCUGUGUAUAAGAAGGAAGCUGAGGAUCAUCU
This 215-nucleotide unclassified non-coding RNA is filed under the name Hevea brasiliensis (rubber tree). Lineage: Eukaryota; Viridiplantae; Streptophyta; Magnoliopsida; Malpighiales; Euphorbiaceae. The record is from RNAcentral.